This is a non-coding RNA of Pelobates cultripes (western spadefoot toad), 364 nucleotides long. Lineage: Eukaryota; Metazoa; Chordata; Amphibia; Anura; Pelobatidae. The record is from the annotation of a GenBank genome assembly.
AAUCAGAUAACCUUGUUUGUAAAUCCUAAAAGCAAGGAUUAGAUGAUAGGGAGAGGCUGGCUUGAUGCAAGUAUAUAAUUGUAAAUCAGAGGUAUUCAGUAAGUGGCUUGAAAAGAGGUUUGCUGCUUCUAUCAUUACUGGUUUGCCCUGACGUGAUUAGCCAUGUUUAACCCGUUUCUUGGAAUAAGUGCCAUCUCUAUUCGAGCUUGGUGACACCAUGAUUCCGUCAAGAACCGUGUUCUGACCCCUUAAAAAAUAAUCUGUCUGUUGAUUAUUUUAAAACCUAUCAUUUUCUAUAAUGUAUUGAACCUAGAGGUCUUUUCAUUAUCUAUAGGGCAUCACAAAAAAAUAGUCUGCAACAUCC